This 418-nucleotide long non-coding RNA is filed under the name Lactuca sativa (garden lettuce). Its description in RNAcentral is "long non-coding RNA (LSAT_LNC002280)". The record is from RNAcentral. Lineage: Eukaryota; Viridiplantae; Streptophyta; Magnoliopsida; Asterales; Asteraceae.
AUCCAUAAACUAUGAAAACCAGAUAAGACGAUAAGCCCCAUAUCAAUCCUAACCAAUAACCAUACCUCUAUUACUACUUGCCAACAAUUCUCUCCACCGUUCCUCCGCCACCGCCAUGGCAUCUCCGACCUUAAUCACCCCGACCACCUCCACCCCUAAGCUCCUCCCACCCAUUCGCUCCAAGCUCUCACCACCCUCCUCUUCCACCACCACCACCACCACCGCCACUACCCAUCGCCGAAACUUCUUGUCAUUGGCUGCCGUAAUAUCCAUCUCCUCCCCGCUACUUGUUAUUCCGGCUGCAUUGGCGGCUUCCGAUGAAGAAUAUACAAAAGAGACCCAGGAGGUUAUCCAGAAAGUCAGGAACACGAUCAACAUGGACAAAACUGAUCCCAACAUCGCAACUGCGGUGGCUGAG